AAAAAAAGCAUUAAACGGAUACCUUGACAAAAGAUUCUAUUGGAUGUUGUACAACAAAAAUUUUAGCUGAGCUGUAAUGCUGGGACGCUGAAAUGUCCAAUAAAAGAAAUUUUUCUCUUGGAAGUUUUCAGAAAAGUGAAUUGAAACAUCUUAGUAACUUUUUAAGAAAUCAAACGAGAUACUGAAAGUAGUGGCGAACGAACUCAGUACAGGCAAAAAACAUAGAUAAAACACCAAUUGAACCUCGAGACCAGAGAAGGUUUAAGUCCUGUAGAUCGGCAAAAACUGUGUUUUUAAGUAAAAGAGGUUGUACUCUUUGAACAAUGGGGGACCACCCUCAAAGCCUAAAUUUUGGUCUUUUGAUCGAUAGUGAACGAGUACUGUGAAGGAAAGGACAUACAUCCUAGGAUGUUUUGAAAUUUAAUGCUAGCAAUCGGUUGGAGCUUUAUAAAGUGACAGCGUACCUUUUGCAUAAUGGGUCAGCGAGUUUUUAAAAAAGGCAAGCUUUUAACGAGGCGAAGAAAAUACGAAUUUUAAAAAAUAACCAGUCUUUUUUAAAAGACCCGAAACUGAGUGAUCUAACCUUGAACAGGCUGAAGACAGAGUGGUAACAUUCGUUGGAGGGCCGAACCCGUGUCUGUGGCAACAUACUGGGAUGAUUUGAGGUUAGGAGUGAAAGGCUAAUCAAACUCAGAGAUAGCUGGUUUUCUGCGAAAUCUAUUUAAGUAGAGCGAUCAAGUAAAACUUUUUGGGGUAGAGCACUUUUUAGAUGAUGGGGCAAUUUCGCUUACUGAUUUUAAGAAAACUCCGAAUACAAAAAGCUCUGAACUUGAUCAGACAGACCAUGGGUGCUAAGGUCCAUGGUCAAGAGGGAAACAGCCCAGAUUGAUCGCUAAGGUCCCAAAGAAAUCUUUCAGUUUAAGGAAGUAAGAUUACGAAGACAACUAGUAGGUCGGCUUGGAAGCAGCCAUCCUUGAAAGAAAUCGUAACAGAUCACUGGUCGAGUAAUUUUGCACCGAAAAUUUAUGGGCAUUAAAAGAUUCGCCGAAGCGGCAAACUUUUUUAAGUGGUAGCAGAACGUUCUGUGAAAUCAAUGAAGAAAAUUUGAGAAAAUUUUUCGAGAAAUCAGAAGUGAAAAUGCUGACAUGAGUAACAAAAAACAAUGUACAGAAUCAUUGUGGCUGUAAAUCCAAGGGUUUUGACGGAAGGAUUAUCCGCGUCAUGCCAUCUUUCGAUGGACAUAUUAGACGGUCCCUAAGAACGCUGAUGACAAUCAGGUUUGAUGGGUUAAACGUUUCGUUUCUUUAAAAAAAUGACAGAUUCUUAAGAUUAUUUUUAGUUUAUAGAGGAAACUAAAGGUGGUGGACGAAUUUCAGGAAAAAGUUUUUUUACUGCACAAACCGUACCUUAAACCAACACAGGUGGAUGGGUGGAAUACACUAAAGCCAAUGAGAGAAUGAUGUUGAAGGAACUCGGCAAAAUGAUUCCGUAACUUCGGAAGAAGGAAUAACCUUGCGAGGGCAACCUUGCAAGGUUGGCACAGAAUUGGGGGUAGCGACUGUUUAAUAAAAACACAGGUCUCUGCAAAUUUGUAAAAAGAUGUAUAGGGACUGACACCUGCCCGGUGCUGUAAGGUUAAACUAUGCUGUUUUGGCAGUGUACAUAAGCCUCAGUAAACGGCGGCUGUAACUCUGACGGUCCAAAGGUAGCGAAAUUCCUUGUCGGGUAAGUUCCGACCUGCACGAAUGGCGCAACGAUCUGGGCACUGUCUCAACGAGAGACUCGGUGAAAUUGUAGUAGCGGUGAAGAUGCCGUUUACCCGCAGCUAGACGGAAAGACCCCGUGAACCUUUACUGUACUCUGAUAUUGGCUUUUGACUUGUCACGUGUAGGAUAGCCGGGAGACUGUGAAAGAAACUCGUCAGGGUUUCUGGAGUCAUCCUUGAAAUACCGGUCGUGACAUGUUGGAAAUCUAACGAUGCCCCAUGAAUCUGGGGAUCGGACAUUGUCAGACGGGCAGUUUGACUGGGGCGGUAUCCUCCUAAAAUGUAACGGAGGAGUCCAAAGCUUGCCUCAUCGUGGUUGGCAAUCACGAAUAGAGCGUAAAAGUAUAAGGCAAGUUGACUGCGAGACCAACGAGUCGAGCAGGUACGAAAGUAGGGUUUAGUGAUCCGGCGGUGGAAAGUGGAAUCGCCGUCGCUUAACGGAUAAAAGGUACUCCGGGGAUAACAGGCUUAUCGCCACCAAGAGUUCAUAUCGACGUGGCGGUUUGGCACCUCGAUGUCGGCUCAUCGCAUCCUGGGGCUGAAGAAGGUCCCAAGGGUUUGGCUGUUCGCCAAUUAAAGCGGUACGCGAGCUGGGUUCAGAACGUCGUGAGACAGUUCGGUCCAUAUC
This 2393-nucleotide ribosomal RNA is filed under the name Heterosigma akashiwo. RNAcentral's name for it is "partial Bacterial large subunit ribosomal RNA". It matches the Rfam family "Bacterial large subunit ribosomal RNA". The record is from RNAcentral. Lineage: Eukaryota; Raphidophyceae; Chattonellales; Chattonellaceae.